GUGCUCCCUUUUCCUGUUCUCUGGCUGCCUGAUGUCAAUGCUCAUAGCUGAGCUAAGAAGGGGGGAUAAGCUGCUACCACCAGGGCAUUCCUGCAGGAUUUUUUUUUGUAGUUAAAGAUGUGAAGCCUCCAUUGUAAAGCAGCCCUGUUAGAAAAUUAGUUCUCUUGAACGAAACAGUCCUGACUUGAGCAAGUGCUGCCAAGCUCUCUGUUCUGAGCAGACAUCAAUGAGAGCUUAGCUUAAAGUCAACUAGCUGUGAUCCCAAAACCAGUUGUCUUUUGAGACUGUAUGUUCUUGUUCCAACUUGUUGGGGUGGGGAGAGAAGAGCAGUUUCAUGAGAAUUCUUGAUAAUGGGAACUGUUGAAUAUCUUGUGGUGAUCGAAUGGAAGUUUUGCUUAUUGUAUUGCAUUUCAAUUAGCAAUGGUUUUGCUCAUGGUACUUGAGCUACUUAUUCCUUUAUAAGCUAUAGGCAAUACAAUAUUUAGUACUAGCGGCUUACUACCUAGGGUAAGACACCCUCAAUGACAAAGUUGCAAUUAAAAGGAAAUCUGAGGCAUUUUAUUGAUCCCUUAGCAAAGAGCAAAGUCAAACUGUAAAAAAAAAAAAAACCAAACCCUGCAGGCUGUGACCUCUAUAGUAUGUGUAGCAAUAGAACAGGGACCUGAACACGCAUCUGUAGAUGAGCUUCUACAAUUCACACCUCAUUUAAUGCUUUAAAAAUGACAGCUGACUCUCUAGCCUUUUAAAACAGGCUGACCUUUGCUGUUAGGCAGUAUAUGUAGAGUUUCCAUCAUAACUGAAGUUGGAGGAGGAAACUCACUCUACCAGUAGGGAUUUGUUGGCACUCUCCUUUCUUGGCUUGAUAAAGUGAAGGAAGGGCAUCUGAGAGUGAACUCAGGAUUUCAAGUGUGACUGUGCUUUCUCCUUGGAGGUGCCUGAGCUGAGGCCAGAAAGACCUGACCUGUGAAAAAGCAGGGGAAAAUUCCAAGGGAAGAGGGAUGACUCACACCAUAACGCAUCAAGAAAGCCAUUUCCAACCACAAGGCUAUUUCUGAAAGAGUGCUUGGCACCGGUGGGGGAAUCUUGGCUACAAGUGGUUGGUUGUAGUGGCACAUGCAAUACCCAAAGGCAGACAUCCUGAUGAAUUUCUGACAGAGCAGGGUGGGAGAUAAUUCAUCCGGCAGCCCAAGGAGGACUCCGUACCUCUCUUCCAGAUAAUUGAACUUUAAUUUAUUUAAAUUUAAUGGAAAACCAUAUGGAGAGGAACAGAAAGCUAAUUUAAAGCACUGCUCAAAGCAAUCAAUAUGUUAACAGAUUCCUUCAACUUUUCACACUUGGUUGCUGAAAAAUGUUUAAAAUGUGUGUUCUUUUUUUUUUAGUGGUAUUAUGAAAACACAGGGUUUCUGGCGGGUUGUAUUCAAAACUCAAGAGCCAAAAUGAGCCUCUGUUGUGGAAAUGAAAAUGUACUUUGAAAGCACAAAUCUCACUAGAACUGAAAAUGACAACUAAGCCAUCUUGUCUCAAAAAAUAUGCAUCUCUGAAGUCUUCUAGGAAGACAGAUAUCAAUCCUAAAAUGUUCAAAUCACUGGUCUGCACAGAGCCCAGAAUAAAAGCAACGACACUGUGGUAUGGAUUACAUUAAUAUAUUGAAAUUGGCCACAGAGUACAGUAAGGAAUGCUUGAUGGAGUGCGUAUGGAUUGUUGCAGGAGACUGUAAAAUCACCAAGUAUGCACAUCAAGGACAAGAGAGAAAUGUUAUCAAUUUUCACAUUUUCCAUAUACAUUUGGUCCACCUCAAGGUCAAUUCUUUCCACACUGACUUUUGAAAACAGUCUUUCAGCAGAUAUUCAACAGCAGGAUAUCUACUAGUGUGUAUCUGCUCUUAGAUGUUGAUCUUCUAAGAUGCUGACUCUUGGAUGUUGACUCUGCCAUCCUGGGUUCAAAUGCUAAUGCUAUUUUGCUCGCAGCAACUUACACGUUGAUUUGAUUUUAUUAUAUAUUGAACAAAAUAUAGGUAAUAUCCUAGAAAAUGAUAAAUAUUCUAAUUAUACUUUCAUAAAGACAUAAUGGUUUAGUAAUGUCAAUGAGCUGUCAGCUUUGUAGACAUUGUUUGCCAUUUACAUCAUGGCUUCAGGCUUGAAGAGUACAGGCUGAAGAAGAAUGGAAGCCUACACUUUCCUCAUGUUUAUUAGCUUGAGAUUGUUAACGAGGCUGGAAGCUGAAAAGGGCAGAUACUCCCCACAAUGAACUUUCAGCAACCCUUACGAAAUCUUCUGGAAAUUCUAUAAAUAGUCUUCAGUCGAACCUCAUUGAGGGCAGGUCCAACUUCUCUGUGGCUUUUUUAAAGCAAAUUAUUCUAAACAGCAUUUUGGACGUUAUUUUUUGCAAGCAAAUGAUCCUUGCAGCCUUUUUCAUUAUCUCAGGCCUGGAAUUCAUUUCAGAUUUGGCAAGUCCUCUCCUCAAAUUCAUGAGCAUGAGCUCCACAGACAUACCUCAAAAGGAAAAUGUAUAAAUAAUGUCUACAGUGGCUUUUUAUUUUUGUUUUAUUUUACUUCAUUUUUAAAAAAAUUAUUAUUGUUAAGAUAAGAUUACGUUUCUUCUAUUCCUUUGCAUCUUUUCCUUCUGGAUUUGUUCUGUGCUGGGAUAGUCCCAACUAUAGAGCAACAGGUAAUUAAAAUUUGGAGGUCCUGCAAA
Long non-coding RNA from Gallus gallus (chicken), 2694 nucleotides. RefSeq lists it as uncharacterized. The record is from RefSeq and is a predicted model, not a curated record. NCBI's taxonomy places the organism in Eukaryota, Metazoa, Chordata, Aves, Galliformes, Phasianidae. The transcript is spliced from 2 exons.